RNAcentral lists this ribosomal RNA (500 nucleotides) under uncultured Glomeromycotina. RNAcentral's name for it is "partial small subunit ribosomal RNA". It matches the Rfam family "Eukaryotic small subunit ribosomal RNA", at positions 591 to 1092 of the family's 1831-position model. The record is from RNAcentral. Lineage: Eukaryota; Fungi; Glomeromycota.
CCAAUAGCGUAUAUUAAAGUUGUUGCAGUUAAAAAGUUCGUAGUUGAAUUUCGGGGUCAGUAGAUUGGUCGUGCCUCUGGUAUGUACUGGUCUCACUGAUUCCUCCUUCCUGAUGAACCGUAAUGCCAUUAAUUUGGUGUUGCGGGGAGACUGGACUGUUACUUUGAAAAAAUUAGAGUGUUUAAAGCAAGCUAACGCUUGAAUACAUUAGCAUGGAAUAAUGAAAUAGGACGUUCGAUCCUAUUUUGUUGGUUUCUAGGAUUGACGUAAUGAUUAAUAGGGAUAGUUGGGGGCAUUAGUAUUCAAUUGUCAGAGGUGAAAUUCUUGGAUUUAUUGAAGACUAACUACUGCGAAAGCAUUUGCCAAGGAUGUUUUCAUUAAUCAAGAACGAAAGUUAGGGGAUCGAAGACGAUCAGAUACCGUCGUAGUCUUAACCAUAAACUAUGCCGACUAGGGAUCGGAUGAUGUUAAUUUUUUAAUGACUCAUUCGGCGCCUUACG